GGGGAUUUAGCUCAGAGGUAGAGCGCUUGCCUAGCAAGUGCAAGGCCCUGGGUUCAGUCUCCA
RNAcentral lists this transfer RNA (63 nucleotides) under Rattus norvegicus (Norway rat). It matches the Rfam family "tRNA". From Rfam's summary of the family: Transfer RNA (tRNA) molecules are approximately 80 nucleotides in length. Their secondary structure includes four short double-helical elements and three loops (D, anti-codon, and T loops). Further hydrogen bonds mediate the characteristic L-shaped molecular structure. tRNAs have two regions of fundamental functional importance: the anti-codon, which is responsible for specific mRNA codon recognition, and the 3' end, to which the tRNAs corresponding amino acid is attached (by aminoacyl-tRNA synthetases). tRNAs cope with the degeneracy of the genetic code in two manners: having more than one tRNA (with a specific anti-codon) for a particular amino acid; and 'wobble' base-pairing, i.e. permitting non-standard base-pairing at the 3rd anti-codon position. The record is from Rfam by way of RNAcentral. Lineage: Eukaryota; Metazoa; Chordata; Mammalia; Rodentia; Muridae.